GGGAUUAUCUUUUGUAUCUCUUAUUGUGGCUAUGUUUGUUUAUCUUUUAUUUGAUGGAUAAUAUGUAAACAAAAAUCAUUGUUAGUUGUAUUUAUCAGAGUUUAUAACUUACUCUGCUUUUUUGUUUAGGUAAUUUCACUGAUCUUGGUUGUCUUAUUCGUUACGAAAGUAAGUUUGUAAAUUAUUAAAUAGUUAGCCGUGCAGUUUGUAUUUGUUUAGCUAACUCGAUGUAUGUGUCUUUGCGAAAGUAAGUUUGUAAAUUGUUAAUUAGCUGGUCGUGUAGUUUGUAUUUGUUUAGCUGACUCGAUGUAUGUGUCGUUGAGUUUUAGUUGAGGUGUUUGGUUUGGUAUAUUUGUUUUGAAGUUUAUUUCAAAGAUUAGACAAAAAA
RNAcentral lists this long non-coding RNA (388 nucleotides) under Brassica napus (rape). RNAcentral describes it as "long non-coding RNA (BNAP_LNC005421)". Lineage: Eukaryota; Viridiplantae; Streptophyta; Magnoliopsida; Brassicales; Brassicaceae. The record is from RNAcentral.